UACGUAGGGGGCAAGCGUUGUCCGGAUUUAUUGGGCGUAAAGAGCGUGUAGGCGGCCAGAUAGGUCCGUUGUGAAAACUCGAGGCUCAACCUCGAGACGCCGAUGGAAACCAUUUGGCUAGAGUCCGGAAGAGGAGAGUGGAAUUCCUGGUGUAGCGGUGAAAUGCGCAGAUAUCAGGAAGAACACCCGUGGCUAAGGCGGCUCUCUAGUACGGUACUGACGCUGAGACGCGAAAGCGUGGGGAGCGAACGGG
RNAcentral lists this ribosomal RNA (253 nucleotides) under uncultured bacterium. RNAcentral describes it as "partial 16S ribosomal RNA". It matches the Rfam family "Bacterial small subunit ribosomal RNA", at positions 524 to 776 of the family's 1533-position model. The record is from RNAcentral.